CCUACGGGAGGCAGCAGUGAGGAAUAUUGGUCAAUGGGCGGGAGCCUGAACCAGCCAAGUCGCGUGAGGGACGACGGUCCUAUGGAUUGUAAACCGCUGUUGUCGGGGAACAAAGGCGCCCACGGGUGGGCGGAUGAGUGUACCCGAAGAAAAAGCAUCGGCUAACGCCGUGCCAGCAGCCGCGGUAAUACGGAGGAUGCGAGCGUUCUCCGGAUUUAUUGGGUUUAAAGGGUGCGUAGGCGGACAGUCAAGUCAGCGGUAAAAAUGCGGUGCUCAACGCCGUACAGCCGUUUAAACUGGCAGUCUUGAGUGGGCGAGACGUAUGCGGAAUGCGUGGUGUAGCGGUGACAUGCAUAGAUCUCACGCAGAACUCCGCUUGCGAAGGCAGCCUACUAAACUGCCACUGACAUUGAUGCUCGAAAGUGUGGGUAUCAAACAGGAUUAGCUACCCCUGUAGUC
This 459-nucleotide ribosomal RNA is filed under the name uncultured bacterium. RNAcentral's name for it is "partial 16S ribosomal RNA". It matches the Rfam family "Bacterial small subunit ribosomal RNA", at positions 338 to 795 of the family's 1533-position model. The record is from RNAcentral.